GCUACACAUGCAAGUCGAGCGGAUGAGGGAAGCUUGCUUCCUGAUUUAGCGGCGGACGGGUGAGUAAUGCCUAGGAAUCUGCCUGUUAGUGGGGGAUAACGUUCCGAAAGGAACGCUAAUACCGCAUACGUCCUACGGGAGAAAGUGGGGGAUCUUCGGACCUCACGCUAACAGAUGAGCCUAGGUCGGAUUAGCUAGUAGGUGAGGUAAUGGCUCACCUAGGCUACGAUCCGUAACUGGUCUGAGAGGAUGAUCAGUCACACUGGAACUGAGACACGGUCCAGACUCCUACGGGAGGCAGCAGUGGGGAAUAUUGGACAAUGGGCGAAAGCCUGAUCCAGCCAUGCCGCGUGUGUGAAGAAGGUCUUCGGAUUGUAAAGCACUUUAAGUUGGGAGGAAGGUCUGUAAGUUAAUACCUUGCA
RNAcentral lists this ribosomal RNA (422 nucleotides) under uncultured bacterium. Its description in RNAcentral is "bacterial SSU rRNA". It matches the Rfam family "Bacterial small subunit ribosomal RNA", at positions 48 to 466 of the family's 1533-position model. The record is from RNAcentral.